UACGGAAGGGGCAAGCGUUGUUCGGAAUCAUUGGGCGUAAAGGGCGCGUAGGUGGUUCUGUAUGUCUACCGUGAAAGCGUACGGCUCAACCGUAUUUUGUCGGUAGAAACUGCGGGACUUGAGGCUGGGAGGGGCUGGUGGAAUUCCCGGUGUAGCGGUGAAAUGCGUAGAGCUCGGGAAGAACAUCGGUGGCGAAAGCGCUCUGCUGGACUGCAACUGACACUCAGGGACGAAAGCUAGGGGAGCGAAUGGG
Molecule: ribosomal RNA, 253 nt
Filed under: uncultured bacterium
Lineage: Bacteria
Description: partial 16S ribosomal RNA
Rfam family: Bacterial small subunit ribosomal RNA
Source: RNAcentral